GUUAGUAGGGGUAUUUUCGGUAUUUCACAGUUGGAUGGCAUUUUUUAAAUUAAAACUUGGUUAUUUUGAAAAUUUGUUAAAAAGGUGGGGACAAAAGUGAUAUAUUUGCUGUAGCCAUCAAAUAGACAAAAAGAAAUCAGAUUUAUGUAAAAAAAAAGAAAAAAAAAAGAAAAACUCAACUCAUUCUUCUUCUCACACACGCACCACCGGCCAACACCACAACUCCGUCGCCCGGCCACCGUUUCGGAUGGUCAACCUACCGAGAAGCUUCUCCCGACCCCCACGAGCAUAACCCAAGCGACCUUGCCUCAAACCAUCGCCCGUAGCCACCGGAAUCACGCUUGGAAGCUUGUGGUCACCGUGAAGAAAAAGCUCCGAUCUGGCCAACUCUGGCCACCGCUUAGCAUGCCGUCACCACCAGACUGAGGAGCACCUAGCCCAACCAACUUCCGGCCAAAACAACCCCCGGAUGCCUGAGAUUCGAGUUUGACCCGGUUUUGACCGGCUGGAAUUUCAUUUUCCGGCGACCCUGAAGUUCUAUUCUAACUGGUUUCGUUGUUCUGCACGUGUUGGCGAUGUUUUUGGAUCCAUACGGAUAGCGUUGGAGCAUCUUGGCAAUUUCAUCAUAAAUACGCGUAUACAUAUGAUAUACGUACAGGUGAUCGAGGAGAUUGGACUUGAUACUGUAGACGGUUAAUUAUUUGAUGCACUGCUAUCGAGAUAGGGAUUUCUCACCCUUUUAUUUCGAAAUACUUUUAAGCCACCGAAUUGCUUAAAUGUUGAGACAGGAUCUAGUGCACAGGCUGUGAAUCAGCAGGAGGACGCCUGACGAAGGUGGCCUGUAUAUUAGUUUGUUUUGUGUAUUUACAUGGUACUUGUGUGUGAUAUAUAUAUACACACAUACAUACAUGUAUGGUUAUGUUUUGGGGGUGAACAUGCAUGGAUAUGGGUAUAUAUGCAUGACGUGUUGUUUGCAUUUUCACGUAUGUGUGUGCUAGUUGUAGUAUAGAGAAUUAUGUAAUGGUUGGAUAUGGAUGAUAUAUGAAUGACCGAGAGUGGUAGUUUGUGAUUUUUGGAUGGUUGAUGUUGA
Long non-coding RNA from Tripterygium wilfordii, 1090 nucleotides. RefSeq lists it as uncharacterized. NCBI's taxonomy places the organism in Eukaryota, Viridiplantae, Streptophyta, Magnoliopsida, Celastrales, Celastraceae. The transcript has 3 exons. The record is from RefSeq and is a predicted model, not a curated record.